Molecule: transfer RNA, 57 nt
Filed under: Biomphalaria glabrata
Lineage: Eukaryota; Metazoa; Mollusca; Gastropoda; Planorbidae
Rfam family: tRNA
About the family: Transfer RNA (tRNA) molecules are approximately 80 nucleotides in length.
Source: Rfam by way of RNAcentral
UGGCUGAGUGGUAAAGCGCUUGGCUUCCGUACCAGGGGUCCUGGGUUCGAAUCCUGG